This 309-nucleotide ribosomal RNA is filed under the name uncultured bacterium. RNAcentral's name for it is "partial 16S ribosomal RNA". It matches the Rfam family "Bacterial small subunit ribosomal RNA", at positions 504 to 807 of the family's 1533-position model. The record is from RNAcentral.
AGAGACAGCAGUAGCCGCGGGAAUACGUAGGGUGCAAGCGUUAAUCGGAAUUACUGGGCGUAAAGCGUGCGCAGGCGGUUAUAUAAGACAGAUGUGAAAUCCCCGGGCUCAACCUGGGAACUGCAUUUGUGACUGCAAGGCUAGAGUACGGCAGAGGGGGAUGGAAUUCCGCGUGUAGCAGUGAAAUGCGUAGAUAUGCGGAGGAACACCGAUGGCGAAGGCAAUCCCCUGGGCCUGUACUGACGCUCAUGCACGAAAGCGUGGGGAGCAAACAGGAUUAGAUACCCCGGUAGUCCCUGUCUCUUAUAC